AAAACGACUCUCGGCAACGGAUAUCUAGGCUCUCGCAUCGAUGAAGAACGUAGUGAAAUGCGAUACUUGGUGUGAAUUGCAGAAUCCCGUGAACCAUCGAGUUUUUGAACGCAAGUUGCGCCCGAAGCCAUUAGGCUGAGGGCACGUCUGCCUGGGCGUCACGCA
RNAcentral lists this ribosomal RNA (165 nucleotides) under Pauridiantha stipulosa. RNAcentral describes it as "Poecilocalyx stipulosa 5.8S ribosomal RNA". It matches the Rfam family "5.8S ribosomal RNA". Rfam says of the family: 5.8S ribosomal RNA (5.8S rRNA) is a component of the large subunit of the eukaryotic ribosome. It is transcribed by RNA polymerase I as part of the 45S precursor that also contains 18S and 28S rRNA. The record is from RNAcentral. Lineage: Eukaryota; Viridiplantae; Streptophyta; Magnoliopsida; Gentianales; Rubiaceae.